CCUACGGGUGGCUGCAGUGGGGAAUAUUGCACAAUGGGGGAAACCCUGAUGCAGCAACGCCGCGUGAGCGAUGAAGGCCUUCGGGUCGUAAAGCUCUGUUGUUAGGGAAGAACAAGUACGGGAGGAAAUGACCGUACCUUGACGGUACCUAACGAGGAAGCCACGGCUAACUACGUGCCAGCAGCCGCGGUAAUACGUAGGUGGCAAGCGUUGUCCGGAAUUAUUGGGCGUAAAGCGCGCGCAGGCGGUCUUUUAAGUCUGAUGUGAAAUCUUGCGGCUCAACCGCAAGCGGUCAUUGGAAACUGGGAGACUUGAGUGCAGAAGAGGAAAGCGGAAUUCCUAGUGUAGCGGUGAAAUGCGUAGAUAUUAGGAAGAACACCAGUGGCGAAGGCGGCUCUCUGGACUGUAACUGACGCUGAGGCACGAAAGCGUGGGGAGCGAACAGGAUUAGAUACCCCUGUAGUC
Molecule: ribosomal RNA, 465 nt
Filed under: uncultured bacterium
Lineage: Bacteria
Description: bacterial SSU rRNA
Rfam family: Bacterial small subunit ribosomal RNA
Source: RNAcentral